CCCCCCCCCCCCCCCCCCCCCCCCCCCCCCCCCCCCCCCCCCCCUCCAAAACAUUCGAUUUUUGAUGGUUUGGUACAGAAUCAUCGUAGAAACUUCUGGUUUGUAUCGCUACCUUCUCAAGAGACACCUUUUUUUAGACAAGGUCAGAGGUCAAGUUGACGAUUUCAAUCAAGAGAUUACUUUUCACAUGGACAAACACAUGGUUGAAAUUGGUAUCGGAUCUAAGGAGAGGGAGAUGGAGGCCGAAUCGAAGACGACAAAGGAGAAUCCACCAGUGUCAAAAGUUGGAGAAGACUUGCAAGGACCAGCGAAGGAGGCGAUCGUUUCAGAGAAAGGGCAGCGCGUCGAUCGAAAUGCUGUACGAGAAACGAAGGAUGACGUAAACAAUGGAGAUGAAGGAAGAAAAGAUACUUGCGAAGAGGAAACGUUGUGCGACGAUAUGACUGCUGCAGCAAAAGAGCUCAAUAUUUCUGUGGAAGAGCUGGAGAAACUUUUAAAAAAGUACGUUGAGGAACAGAUGCAGCAGGAAACGCUAUUACAGGAGAGGGUUCCAGACCUGCGUGAGCGAGUGCAACGGCAGGAGGCAAAAGAUAUUGCUGUUUCGAAGAUGUUUGAAGAUAUUAUGAGGUAUGAACUCGCUUUUAUAUUUUUUAAUUAUGUGAAGUUAUCCCAAAUGAACUUGAUGAACCUGACUUGCUGCUAAUUUAAGUG
This 711-nucleotide long non-coding RNA is filed under the name Eptatretus burgeri (inshore hagfish). RNAcentral describes it as "lncRNA (ENSEBUG00000017520.1)". Lineage: Eukaryota; Metazoa; Chordata; Myxini; Myxiniformes; Myxinidae. The record is from RNAcentral.